UCCGCGUAGGCCUAUGGUAGAGGCAGAGCUGCGCGGCUGAGGUGCGCAGUGCCCAGGGAGAGCCUGGGAGCCGCGCGGUUAGCUGCUGGCGAGCCUUGUCUGGAUGGACUACGCCCCAGUGGUCGUCCGGCACACCUUGGGGCCUCGGGUGGGGCCCACAUGCCAGGUCUUAAUAGCAUUUUGUCUUCAUAAAAAUAUGGAAAACUUCACCAGAUUCAAUCCAUUGCAGCUUAAAAAAAAAAAAAAAAAGGUUUUAUGAUGAAAAUCAAUGAAAAUUCAAUUGAGGAGAUACUCUAUAAUUUUGAAUAAUUCUUCUAUUAAUGUGCAUAUAGGUUACUUCCAUCUUUUCCUAUUUUAAAAUUAAACUGUAAUGAAUGUCUUAAUAUAUAAUGUUUUUCUUCUUAUGGUUUAUUUUUCAGUACUUAUAU
Mustela erminea (ermine) is the source of this 428-nucleotide long non-coding RNA. RefSeq lists it as uncharacterized. Lineage: Eukaryota; Metazoa; Chordata; Mammalia; Carnivora; Mustelidae. The transcript has 3 exons. The record is from RefSeq and is a predicted model, not a curated record.